Equus asinus (donkey) is the source of this 61-nucleotide small nucleolar RNA. Its record names the gene SNORD63. It matches the Rfam family "Small nucleolar RNA SNORD63". Rfam says of the family: snoRNA U63 is found in both humans and mice. The record is from Ensembl. NCBI's taxonomy places the organism in Eukaryota, Metazoa, Chordata, Mammalia, Perissodactyla, Equidae.
GUGCAGUGCCAACACAUCAUUCUGAAGAAGAGUGUGCAGUGACUUCCUGUGACUGAGCACA